GAUGAACGCUGGCGGCGUGCCUAAUACAUGCAAGUCGAGCGAACAGACGAGGCGCUUGCUCCUCUGACGUUAGCGGCGGACGGGUGAGUAACACGUGGAUAACCUACCUAUAAGACUGGGAUAACUUCGGGAAACCGGAGCUAAUACCGGAUAAUAUAUUGAACCGCAUGGUUCAAUAGUGAAAGACGGUUUUGCUGUCACUUCUAGAUGGAUCCGCGCCGCAUUAGCUGGUUGGUAAGGUAACGGCUUACCAAGGCAACGAGGCGUAGCCGACCUGAGAGGGUGAUCGGCCACACUGGAACUGAGACACGGUCCAGACUCCUACGGGAGGCAGCAGUAGGGAAUCUUCCGCAAUGGGCGAAAGCCUGACGGAGCAACGCCGCGUGAGUGAUGAAGGUCUUCGGAUCGUAAAACUCUGUUAUUAGGGAAGAACAAAUGUGUAAGUAACUAUGCACGUCUUGACGGUACCUAAUCAGAAAGCCACGGCUAACUACGUG
RNAcentral lists this ribosomal RNA (497 nucleotides) under uncultured bacterium. Its description in RNAcentral is "partial 16S ribosomal RNA". It matches the Rfam family "Bacterial small subunit ribosomal RNA", at positions 28 to 507 of the family's 1533-position model. The record is from RNAcentral.